AACGAACGCUGGCGGCAUGCCUAACACAUGCAAGUCGAACGAGACCUUCGGGUCUAGUGGCGCACGGGUGCGUAACGCGUGGGAACCUGCCCUUAGGUUCGGAAUAACUCCCCGAAAGGGGUGCUAAUACCGGAUAAUGUCUUCGGACCAAAGAUUUAUCGCCUUUGGAUGGGCCCGCGUUGGAUUAGCUAGUUGGUAGGGUAAAAGCCUACCAAGGCGACGAUCCAUAGCUGGUCUGAGAGGAUGAUCAGCCACACUGGGACUGAGACACGGCCCAGACUCCUACGGGGGGCAGCAGUGGGGAAUAUUGGACAAUGGGCGAAAGCCUGAUCCAGCAAUGCCGCGUGAGUGAUGAAGGCCUUAGGGUUGUAAAGCUCUUUUACCCGGGAUGAUAAUGACAGUACCGGGAGAAUAAGCUCCGGCUAACUCC
Molecule: ribosomal RNA, 430 nt
Filed under: uncultured bacterium
Lineage: Bacteria
Description: partial 16S ribosomal RNA
Rfam family: Bacterial small subunit ribosomal RNA
Source: RNAcentral